AAUUAUAGUGAAUUUCCAAGGGGUCGCUUAGGGAGUGGACGUAGGUGCUAAGGAGAGCACCGAACCACUAUACUUCUUGUUGUUUGUAUUGUAAUUUGUUUAAUUCCACUAACUCAUCAUUUAACAUAAGUAAGAUAGUUAAAAUUAAGAGAAACCAAUUUACCCCCCCUCUUGGCUUGUCACCUUGGGCAACAAGUGGUAUCAGAGCAAGGUGCUCCAAUAGUAAUUAUUGAUCUCACAAUCAAGAGUUAAAGAUCAUGACAACCCAAGUGGGAUGUUCUAUGAGUGAGGGA
This 293-nucleotide long non-coding RNA is filed under the name Phoenix dactylifera (date palm). RNAcentral describes it as "long non-coding RNA (PDAC_LNC008030)". Lineage: Eukaryota; Viridiplantae; Streptophyta; Magnoliopsida; Arecales; Arecaceae. The record is from RNAcentral.